This 69-nucleotide transfer RNA is filed under the name Ictidomys tridecemlineatus (thirteen-lined ground squirrel). Its description in RNAcentral is "Spermophilus tridecemlineatus (thirteen-lined ground squirrel) tRNA". It matches the Rfam family "tRNA". From Rfam's summary of the family: Transfer RNA (tRNA) molecules are approximately 80 nucleotides in length. Their secondary structure includes four short double-helical elements and three loops (D, anti-codon, and T loops). Further hydrogen bonds mediate the characteristic L-shaped molecular structure. tRNAs have two regions of fundamental functional importance: the anti-codon, which is responsible for specific mRNA codon recognition, and the 3' end, to which the tRNAs corresponding amino acid is attached (by aminoacyl-tRNA synthetases). tRNAs cope with the degeneracy of the genetic code in two manners: having more than one tRNA (with a specific anti-codon) for a particular amino acid; and 'wobble' base-pairing, i.e. permitting non-standard base-pairing at the 3rd anti-codon position. The record is from Rfam by way of RNAcentral. Lineage: Eukaryota; Metazoa; Chordata; Mammalia; Rodentia; Sciuridae.
GGCGCUGUAGCUCAGUAGUAGAGUGCUCGCCUGGCAUGUGUGAGGCACUGGGUUUGAUCCUCAGCACCA